UUAAACAAUUUAAAGGCAAUACUACCAAAUACUAAUUGAGUGUAUGUAAACUUCUGACCCACUGGGAAUGUGAUGAAAGAAAUACAAGCUGAAAUAAAUCAUUCUCUCUACUAGUAUUCUGACAUUUCACAUUCUUAAAAUGAAGUGGUGAUCCUAACUGACUUAAGAAAGUAAAUUUUUACUCAGAUUAAAUGUUAGAAAUUGUGAAAAACUGAGUUUAAAUGUAUUUGGCUAAGGUGUAUGUAAACUUCCGACUUCAACUGUAUGUAGAUGAGAGAUUUGUACCACACACAUAGUGAUUUCUGGCUCUCUCUUUUGUCUCUGUUCUCUCUCCCUUUCUUAAGACAACCCAAUGGUUAAGUGUAUAUAAAAACAUGCUCACUUUAAUAAAUAAGUUAAAUGUUUUUGUUGAUGGAUUGAGUUUUUUUUUUGUGUGUGUGUUUAUUUUAACAAAAGUGAUCCAAAGCAUGCUUGCUUUGGUACGGAAAACUGUGGUUGUGUCUGAAAUCUUUCUAGCCUACUGCUUACUAAUAAAAUCAAAUGUAUUUAUAAAGCCCUUCUUACAUCAGCUGAUAUCUCAAAGUGCUGUACACAGAAACCCAGCCUAAAACCCCCCAAAACAGCAAGCUAAAAUGUACUAGCCAUACUACAUACGGAUACACUAGUAAAACGCAGUAUUAAACGUUAAACAAAUAUCAACAUACUGGUUCAAACGACAGAAAAGAAGCAGCGGACACUAUCAGCUGUUCGGUCACAGUUUCUGAUGGACGUUUUAUGGUAUUACACAGCAUACCAUUUUCGUUUGUCAAACUGAACACAAAUGCUAGCCAGCAGCUAACAAAAUGAGUUUGUUUUUGGCCAAAUUGUCAUGUAAAAAUGACAUAGACGAGGUAAUAAAAACCGUUGCUGAAAAGGUUUUAGUUCUUCGGUUUGGAAGAGAUGAAGACUCUGUCUGCCUUCAACUUGACGAGAUUGUAAGUAGCUAACGUUAGCAUGUGUAGCUAGCAUGCUAGCUGGGUAACUAGCUAGCUCUACCAGCUAACUUCCUGCAAUAUUGUAGCCAGUAAACAUUGAUGCAAAACGUACAUGUCAAUAUUUACACCAACACUGUCAAUGUAUUUUUUUGUUGUUAUUGUUGUAACGUUUGUCUGUCUGAAUCGGGAAUGACAAGUGUUAUAAUUAUUUUUGCCAGCUGUCCAAAACCUCCCACGACCUGAGUAACAUGGCGUCUAUCUACAUCGUGGAUGUGGACUCAGCUCCCGUCUACACGAGAUACUUCGACAUCAGUUACAUCCCAUCAACAGUCUUCUUCUUCAACGGACAACACAUGAAAGUUGAUCAUGGGUGAAAAGGAAGAUGGCCGACAACUAGCUACAAUACCACUGGUCUCCAGAUCACACCAAGUUUGUGGGCAGUUAAGACCAAGCAGGACUUCCUGGAUCUGAUCGAAGUGAUCUACAGAGGUGCUAUGAGAGGGAAGAUGAUCGUCCAGAGUCCCAUCGACCCUCAGAACAUCCCCAAGUACGACCUGCUCUACCAUGGGAUCUAACCCCGUCACGACCUGCUCAACCAUGGGAUCUGAGAUUCCACCACGAUUCCCCACCCUUCAGCGCGGUUACAAGCACCCUGGCUGCAGAUCUCGUCGGGAGACCGACGGCGCGGUUUGAGCGCUCAAGCUGCCGACAAUUCAUGUGAAGAGAAAACGUCUGACCAGCACAUAACAGAUUGGCCCGGCCUGGACAAUUAUGGUGUCGGCGUUAUCAAGAGACACCACUGUAGCCGGCGCCAUCUCACUUCACCAUUCAUACUGAUGUACCGAUUUAGUGAAACUGUCCAUAACUAGAGGUUUGAUAUUUCCUAGGGAAAUAGAUCUCUAUAAAAGACACAUGCGUGUCAGAGUGAACAAUCUUUUAUUUCAUACAAUGAACAUUAAUUUAUAUCUGGAUGUUCUUGUUGCCUCUUUGUUUAUAGUGGGAAUGCUGAAUGUAAUGUAUGUUUGGUCACAAGGUCAGAAACCUUUUGAACUUUUUGUUAAUAAAUGUCACUUAAAAUAA
This is a non-coding RNA of Salmo salar (Atlantic salmon), 2054 nucleotides long. The record is from RefSeq and is a predicted model, not a curated record. Lineage: Eukaryota; Metazoa; Chordata; Actinopteri; Salmoniformes; Salmonidae.